UCAGAUUGAACGCUGGCGGCGUGCUUAACACAUGCAAGUCGAGCGGUAACAGGCGUAGCAAUACGUGCUGACGAGCGGCGAACGGGUGAGUAAUGCUUCGGAAUCUACCCAGUAGUGGGGAAUAACCAACCGAAAGGUUGGCUAAUGCCGCAUACGACCUGAGGGUGAAAGCGGGGGAUCGCAAGACCUCGCGCUAUCGGAUGAGCCGAAGUCGGAUUAGCUAGUUGGUGAGGUAAAGGCUCACCAAGGCGACAAUCCGUAGCUGGUCUGAGAGGACGACCAGCCACACUGGGACUGAGACACGGCCCAGACUCCUACGGGAGGCAGCAGUGGGGAAUAUUGGACAAUGGGGGAAACCCUGAUCCAGCGACGCCGCGUGUGUGAAGAAGGCCUGCGGGUUGUAAAGCACUUUUAGUGGGGAUGAAAAGUUCGGGGCUAAUACCCCUGGACCUUGACCUAACCUACAGAAAAAGCACCGGCUAACUCUGUGCCAGCAGCCGCGGUAAUACAGAGGGUGCAAGCGUUAAUCGGAAUUACUGGGCGUAAAGCGUGCGCAGACGGUUCUGUAAGUCGGAUGUGAAAUCCCCGGGCUCAACCUGGGAAUUGCAUUCGAAACUGCAAAGCUAGGGUACGGAAGAGGGAAGCGGAAUUUCUGGUGUAGCGGUGAAAUGCGUAGAUAUCAGAAGGAACAUCAGUGGAGAAAGCGGCUUCCUGGUCCAGUACCGACGUUCAGGCACGAAAGAGUGGGGA
RNAcentral lists this ribosomal RNA (750 nucleotides) under uncultured bacterium. RNAcentral describes it as "bacterial SSU rRNA". It matches the Rfam family "Bacterial small subunit ribosomal RNA", at positions 24 to 767 of the family's 1533-position model. The record is from RNAcentral.